Molecule: small nucleolar RNA, 149 nt
Filed under: Castor canadensis (American beaver)
Lineage: Eukaryota; Metazoa; Chordata; Mammalia; Rodentia; Castoridae
Description: Small nucleolar RNA SNORA42/SNORA80 family (ENSCCNG00000009237.1)
Source: RNAcentral
GCCUGGAUUUAUUCACUUAUUCUUAGCUUGCUUCAAACAAACCAAAUUAACUAGUACUUCAUAGUGUCCUAUGCCAGAGCAAGCUGAGGCUCUGAACCAUUGCCUGCUCACUACCAAAGACUGCUGGAACUGAAGGGGAUUGCACAGUG